GGUUCCUUAGCCAAGUGGUAAGGCAAUUGACUGCAACUCAAUGAGCAUCGGUUCAACUCCGAUAGGAACCUCCA
RNAcentral lists this transfer RNA (74 nucleotides) under Bacilli bacterium. RNAcentral's name for it is "tRNA-Cys". It matches the Rfam family "tRNA". From Rfam's summary of the family: Transfer RNA (tRNA) molecules are approximately 80 nucleotides in length. Their secondary structure includes four short double-helical elements and three loops (D, anti-codon, and T loops). The record is from RNAcentral. Lineage: Bacteria; Bacillati; Bacillota; Bacilli. RNAcentral also lists the same sequence under 1 other name.